Molecule: ribosomal RNA, 253 nt
Filed under: uncultured bacterium
Lineage: Bacteria
Description: partial 16S ribosomal RNA
Rfam family: Bacterial small subunit ribosomal RNA
Source: RNAcentral
UACAUGGGGUGCAAACGUUGCUCGGAAUUAUUGGGCGUAAAGCGCACGUAGGUGGUUUGUUAUGUCGGAUGUGAAAGCCCUCGGCUCAACUGAGGAAGUGCAUCCGAAACUGGCAAGCUAGAGUAUGUAAGAGGGUCGCGGAAUUCCCGGUGUAGAGGUGAAAUUCGUAGAUAUCGGGAGGAACACCGGUGGCGAAGGCGGCGACCUGGGACAAUACUGACACUGAGGUGCGAAAGCGUGGGGAGCAAACGGG